AGCAGCCAGAAACUGUAAUGCCACAGAUCAGAGAGGCUUCAUCAUCACCAUCUUCGCCGUACGAUCAGAGCAUGAGACUUCACAUCUGGAGCACAGGAGAGAUUCUGUGAUAAGUCCUCCUUCUAGCUUGUCCCACAAGCAGUCGGUGAGAUUUACUCACAACAAAAAGGGUUAAUGACAUUAUUUUCACGAAAACAUGUAUUAAUUCUUUGUAAAGUGUUUAAAUUGUGUUUUCACUUGACCUUAGGAGUGUUAUUUUGAGUGUAUUUUAAUAUCUGUACUCAGGUGUUUCCCUCUGUGAUCCAUCCCCUUCAGAGCUGAGACACUCAGGACUGAACAGACUGCACAGUUUCUGUGACUGAGCCUCCAAAACAUCUUCUUUGAAACCACACAUGAUAGAAGGGCUUUAUAUUUGCAGCAGCACUACUAAAGUCGGCAGGAAUGUUGCUGCAGGAAAACAUCCCUGCAGAUCACCAUCAUUGUCAGACUGACUGUGCCUCCUCUGUGCAGUGUCAAGAUCCUCCCUAAAUGAGUGUCUAUCCUGCUUCUGUGCUGCUUGCCACACAUCAAACACUGGCCGGAUGACAGGGAGGAUCCACUCUGAAGUCACUGGACAUGAUGAGGAUCAUAUGGGACUUUAUAGUUUCACAGAAAUGUUGUGCUCUUUGAUUACAGGUUUUAAAUGGACAUAAUGACUGCCUCUCUCUGAUCUGACAGGCUAAAGGAUUGUUUUCAUUGUUAGUGCUCUGUACAGUGUAUGCUUAUUUAAUAUUUCAUCACAGAGCAAACCUUUAUUUAUUUAACAUAUUUUUAUUUUGUUUUAAUGUUGAAUUAACUGUGGGGAUUUUUUUAAGUGGGCACUCGGGAUGUCAUAUGACCAGAAAUGUGGUAACUGUAAUUCAACAGUAUGUAAAGAAAGAAUCUGCUAAGAACAAAACACAGACAAAAAACCCCAAGAGAACUCAAAUUUGUUCCAUGUAAUCCAAUCUAAAACAUUUUAAACUGCUGAACAGCAACACAAACAGUGUUAAAGAAACAGUGUUAACAGAAUAAUUAUGAUGAGUUUGUACCAAAGUUUCAGGUCACAUGGCACACCUAGUGUGUAGUGUGGGGUAUCAGCUGGUAAGUAUAGGUUUUUUCAUAUUUGUGUCCUUAGAGUUCAGAUAGAUAAAGCCUUGUGUAUAAUAAUUAGUCAUAACCACAACUCAAAGUCAGGGACUAACUAAAUUUGGGACUUCGUGUCUGAGCCCAGGUUAAAACA
Molecule: long non-coding RNA, 1261 nt
Organism: Pelmatolapia mariae (spotted tilapia)
Lineage: Eukaryota; Metazoa; Chordata; Actinopteri; Cichliformes; Cichlidae
Exons: 3
Source: RefSeq, a predicted model, not a curated record